This 49-nucleotide transfer RNA is filed under the name Rhacodactylus auriculatus (New Caledonia bumpy gecko). RNAcentral's name for it is "partial tRNA-Tyr". Lineage: Eukaryota; Metazoa; Chordata; Lepidosauria; Squamata; Diplodactylidae. The record is from RNAcentral.
GGUGGCAGGCUGUANUCCUGCUAACAUGGGUUUAAAUCCUGUUUCUACC